Molecule: ribosomal RNA, 468 nt
Filed under: uncultured bacterium
Lineage: Bacteria
Description: partial 16S ribosomal RNA
Rfam family: Bacterial small subunit ribosomal RNA
Source: RNAcentral
GACGAACGCUGGCGGCGUGCUUAACACAUGCAAGUCGAACGGAAAGGCCCUGCUUUUGUGGGGUGCUCGAGUGGCGAACGGGUGAGUAACACGUGAGUAACCUGCCCUUUACUUUGGGAUAACUUCAGGAAACUGGGGCUAAUACCGGAUAGGAGCUCCUGCUGCAUGGUGUGGGUUGGAAAGUUUCGGCGGUUGGGGAUGGACUCGCGGCUUAUCAGCUUGUUGGUGGGGUAGUGGCUUACCAAGGCUUUGACGGGUAGCCGGCCUGAGAGGGUGACCGGCCACAUUGGGACUGAGAUACGGCCAAGACUCCUACGGGAGGCAGCAGUGGGGAAUAUUGCAAAAUGGGAGGAAGCCUGAUGCAGCAACGACGCGUGCGGGAUGACGGCCUUCGGGUUGUAAACCGCUUUCGCCUGUGACGAAGCGUGAGUGACGGUAAUGGGUAAAGAAGCCCCGGCUAACUACGUG